GACAGAGGUCCCGAGCGUUAGGCGGAAUCACUGGGCUUAAAGCGUGUGUAGGCGGCGGCCUAAGUACCUUGUGAAAUCCCACGGCUCACCCGUGGAACUGCUCGGUAUACUGGGUCGCUUGAGCCACUUAGGGGCUACCGGAACAAAUGGUGGAGCGGUGAAAUGCGUAGAUAUCAUUUGGAACGCCAAUGGGAAAAACGGGUAGCUGGGAGUGUGCUGAGGUUGGGACACGAAGGCCGGGGAGCAAACGGG
This 252-nucleotide ribosomal RNA is filed under the name uncultured bacterium. RNAcentral describes it as "partial 16S ribosomal RNA". It matches the Rfam family "Bacterial small subunit ribosomal RNA", at positions 524 to 776 of the family's 1533-position model. The record is from RNAcentral.